Molecule: long non-coding RNA, 488 nt
Organism: Solanum tuberosum (potato)
Lineage: Eukaryota; Viridiplantae; Streptophyta; Magnoliopsida; Solanales; Solanaceae
Exons: 2
Source: RefSeq, a predicted model, not a curated record
AAAAGGACAUAAUCAAGUACAAUAGAAAGGCAAGAGCUUCAGGAGGUUUCCAAAACCCCAUUUCAAGUCCUCAUCUUUGAAUAGCCGCGCUGAAGCUCUGUAUCCAUGGCUUCCUCGACACUACCAUACCCGUCUAACCUUCAUCUUCUACAAACAAUAUCAUGUCCGGCUUGUAAUCACUUGAACACCAAAAAUCUCACUGGCGUUAUGAUUCGUUAUCAAUGAAGACUUCUUCAACAUGAAUGAGGUAGAUCUUUGCUGGAAUGGAAGGAAUACAGACAUAAAGCAACAUUGGCAUUUUAUCAUGACAACAUGGUGGUGCUCAACGAACAAACAUCCAAAAGCAGUGGAACAAAGAUGAGAUUAGUAUUAUAUAUGCUACUAUUGCGUUUGUAAUGGGUAUUUAAAACUAGAUACAAGAAAUAUAAAAUAACAUUAUCAUAUACAUGUCAUUAUAUCGGAUUUAAUACAUGAUUCAAUUUUUUCGA